GGAAGGGUGGUCUUGUGGUUAAGACACCAGACUCAAUAGACCUAGGUUCAAUUCCUGGCUCUGCCG
Molecule: transfer RNA, 66 nt
Filed under: Chelonia mydas (Green sea turtle)
Lineage: Eukaryota; Metazoa; Chordata; Testudines; Cheloniidae
Rfam family: tRNA
About the family: Transfer RNA (tRNA) molecules are approximately 80 nucleotides in length. Their secondary structure includes four short double-helical elements and three loops (D, anti-codon, and T loops). Further hydrogen bonds mediate the characteristic L-shaped molecular structure. tRNAs have two regions of fundamental functional importance: the anti-codon, which is responsible for specific mRNA codon recognition, and the 3' end, to which the tRNAs corresponding amino acid is attached (by aminoacyl-tRNA synthetases). tRNAs cope with the degeneracy of the genetic code in two manners: having more than one tRNA (with a specific anti-codon) for a particular amino acid; and 'wobble' base-pairing, i.e. permitting non-standard base-pairing at the 3rd anti-codon position.
Source: Rfam by way of RNAcentral